This is a long non-coding RNA of Canis lupus familiaris (dog), 3943 nucleotides long. RefSeq lists it as uncharacterized. The record is from RefSeq and is a predicted model, not a curated record. The transcript has 3 exons. NCBI's taxonomy places the organism in Eukaryota, Metazoa, Chordata, Mammalia, Carnivora, Canidae.
CUGCCCCUGCCCACUGCCUGCUUUGUGGCCUCAGGCUCACUGCCUGCUCGGACCACACCUUUGCCUUAGAAUCACAAACCUACUGGGUUCUGUGUGCCGCUCACCAGCAGCCUCCAGACAUCCUUUCAGCAGCCUCGGUGGGGCCCCCACCCUUUACCCAGCACCCUUAUCCACCAGUGCCUGGACCCCUCCAUUGUUCCUGCACCCUUUACCCCCAAAUGUACAUGCUUCCUGAGAUCAACUUUCUUCUCUGGAUUUACUGUCCUCUGAUCAUCUUAUCUACUCCUAGGGUUUCAACUAGCACCCUCAAGUGGAAGAGGUCUAAGAAUAUAAAGGUCAUUUUCUUUUUCUUUUUUUGAAGAUUUUAUUUAUUUAUUCAUGAGAGACACACAGAGAGAGGCAGAGACAUAGAGGGAGAAGCAGGCUCCCUGUGGGGAGCCUGAUGCGGGACUGGAUCCCAGGACCCCGGGAUCAUGACCUGAGCCAAAGGCAAAGGCUCAACCACUGAGCCACCCAGGUGUCCCAUAAAGGUCAUUCUCAAGUUAGAAUGACCAGGGCCCGAGGUUGAUUGGUAGAGGAAGAAGAAAAAGAGUGAAAGUCAAGAGGAAGGCUGAGUCCCAUGAAGGAUGGCCCAUCACCACAGCCGUGGAGGGAAAGACCCAGGCCGCCGUGGGCUCUGAAUCCUCUGGCCUGGCAUAGUGCCCGCCACAGAUGGGUGCAGAGUCUCUGCUGGAUGGAUGAAUGAAUGAACGAGUGAAGGUACAGAUGAGUUCUUCUCUCUCCGGAUCCUAGUGCAUUUUCUGGAGCCACCGUCCCUCCUGAUACACAAGGCCAAGGGAGGAAGUGACUAAGCCAGCCAAGUUCAGAGAGGAAACAUUAGCCCCUGUGACAUCUGCCCGGGAACGGGAGACUAAGAGAGGACAGGAUGGGCACCCAGAAUCCGAAGCAGCACCCCAACUCUUGCUGGCUCUUACAAAAGCUUGGGUCCCACAGGCUUAGCCACACCACUGCCGGCGCGGCGGGGUGUUGAAUAAGCCCUGACUGUUUUUAUCCUCGUUUAACCCUCCCGAAGACCUUCUGAGUGCCAAAUGCUGAACUGCCUUUCUGAGAGAGCUCUAAAAGGGAAAUACAAGCCAGCCCUCCUCGAAUCCCCUCCAUCACGUGUGCACAGAACAGGAGCGGUGGGGAGGGGGGAGCAGAAGAAAGCCUCAGAGAUCACUUAACUCCAUCUUUUUCCUGUUGCGAGAAUUUGAGGCCCGGAGAGGUCAAGCCAUUUGACCAAGGUCACAGAGUGAGUUAGAGGUGAAGCUGGGACUAGAACCUGGGUGUCUGUUGCAGACUUGCACUCUCUUGCCAACUAAGAUACUGUGAGAAUUUCACUCGCACCUCUGGGAGAGAAGAAGCAGACUCUCCCCCAGGAGCAGGUGCAAGAAGCACUACGCCCGCCCAAGGUGAGAUGCGUUGGCUAGACUUCGGCUUUGCCCUCUGUUCCUCUCAGAUGGGGCUCUGUGCUUUCUUGGCUUGUGGAGCACCCCAGAGUCAUUGGGGCUCCAGUCUGAGCGUCCAACUCUCCCAGGAAUGAUGCUUCUCUCACAGGAAUGUACCAACAGCAGGUGUUCUGCAGACUCUUCCUCGGCUUAGCCAAGAGCAAGUUGCCCUUCUAAGAGCCUGUUGCAUCUGGCUGCUAGAUGACCUUCUUUCUCAUUUUCUCUCUACUGACCUUCUGGGUAAACAGUUCGGGGAGACUUAAAUUCAUGGAACCAGUAAAUGAAAAGGGGCCACCAAGUUCCCCUGGUCUGUACUUACUCCACUCAAUCCAGGGACCCCCUCUAUGACACCCCAGGUGGAUACCACCCUCAGCUCGAACCCAUUCUCAGGAUGAACCAUUCCUCCUGCCUCACUCCCAGCGCCCCCUGCUGCUGGACCCAAGCGAUAGAGGAGUCAGUCACCCUGUGAUGACCCUUUAUGCUGAAACAGACCAAGUGUUUACCCUUCUCUGGACUACAGCCUGUGUUUUCGAUCAUGAACAAGGAACAAGCCCAAACAGACAUGACCAUUCUUGAUCGGCCAAAGACUGAGUGUCCAUUUGGCCAAAGACUGAGUGUGGGCUAGAUCGGGCUCUCGCUCAAUUUACUUUUCCUAUCUGAUUUCCGUGAAGAAAAGAAAGAGAGAGAAGAAAGAAAGAAAGAAAGAAAGAAAGAAAGAAAGAAAGAAAGAAAGAAAGAAAGAAAGAAAGAAAGAGAAAGAAAGAGAAGAGAAGAAAAGAAAAGAAAAGAAAAGAAAAGAAAAGAAAAGAAAAGAAGAAAAAGAAAGCUUGUCUACCUGCUCUAGAGAAAUUGAGCAAGAAAAAAAGAUAAGUGCCCAGCCUGUUCUUUUGCUUCUUGCUAGCAAUCCUGGUGAGAAUUCUGACUGAGGAGGAAAUUGGGCCCACCCAAGCCCUUCAAGUAGUCAUUUUGUGGUGGACUCUGUGAUAUGCCCCUAGGUGAGAACAGAAGCCAGAAUUGAUGUCCACUCCCAAUUUCUUGGUUGAAGUCAUAAAGAUAAUGGCAAGAAGGACAUUUAUGCUGGACUGUCACUAUCUGGAGGAUGAUGUUGGACAAGAAGAGGAGGACAAGAGUGACAUUUUCUCCAUCAGAGGAAUGAGCUUCCCAACCACUGGAGAGUCAAAAUGGAAGAGCAUGAAUUAUAUACUCAACACAGAUUCCCAGGACUGGGCUUUGUAUGACCACCUAAUGGAUUUCCUUGUGGACCAAGGGGGUGGAUGACACUUUUUUCAGAUGAGUUCAGCAUGGCCCUUGAUCACCAAACUUUCUCAGAGACCUCGAAAGUUUUGUCAAGAGCCAAUAGCAUUUUGCCAGACAAAAUGCUGAAUACUUUGAUUUUAUGGCAGGCUUUGGUCAGUGAACAAAACCUACUUUGAAGCCAGAUACAUGUGCUUCAAAAUGGUUUUCAUCCUCAUAUCAUAAAAAAUGAUUCAAAUUGAUUUCUGUUGCCUUCUUAUUUAUAAUUCCUUUGUUUCUUCUCUACAAAUCCAUUAUUUCUAGGUUUUUGUAUAACAUCAUGAUGGAGAAUAAAACUGGUUUAUCUCCCCCACGCCCACAAAAAGGAAGGAAUGAAGGACUUCUUCCCUCAGCUGCUAGGAGUAGCUUGGAGGCCAGCUCUCAGCGGGCAGCAGCUCAGGAACUGCCUCAGCUGAAUGAAGAGUCAUGUCCCCAAGGUCAUGGUCGCAUUCCUGAUUGAUACAGAGAUAUAUAUAUCUAGCUCUCUUGUCUCAUCUCUGGAUAGUUCUGAAGGGUCAUCCAUCUUUAGAACUGCCCUCAGGGCCACGGUCGCAGCUUCUCUUGAGACUCCAUCACAGUUGGGCUUCCCCCUCUGCCGAAUCUGCUCCCUUCCCAAGGACAUCCCUGGUAAACUUCUCAUGUACCGAUCCUUUCUGAGUCUGAUUCCCAGGGAACCCAGAAAUGAGCUGUCCAUUUUGAAAGAAAGGAAGUCACACACAAUAUUCAUUCAGAGUUUCUAACUUAGAGAAUUCAUGACAUAGAGUUCUUUUGAUUUGAGCUAGUUCCCCUAUUUGACACCUCCCACAGACAAAGAACCCACCCAUUUAUACCUCUUUGUUUAUAGAGAGGUGCGUAUAUUUAUGAGAAGAUAAUUAUACCUUCCCAGGGCCAGGGUUGCUCAUCAUUGCUAUAAAAGAAAGUUGAAAGAAGCAGAUAAUUCACCAAAACUCUCUUUACUUUUUUGUCAUUCAGUGAAAACUGAUACUCACUUUGUUCUUUUAAUUGGCACUGCCCCAACCAGUGAGGUUGAGAAUGUUUGCAGGUGUUUAUUAGCCAGGUAAAUUCUUCUCCUGUGACUUGUCUAUUCAUAGAUAAUUUGCCUAUUUUUCUUUUUGUUUUUCCUGUCUUUUUUCAUAAUAACUGGUAAUAAAUUGUUGGACAUA